CCUACGGGAGGCAGCAGUGAGGAAUAUUGGUCAAUGGACGAGAGUCUGAACCAGCCAAGUAGCGUGAAGGAUGACUGCCCUAUGGGUUGUAAACUUCUUUUAUAUGGGAAUAAAAUGUUCCACGUGUGGGAUUUUGUAUGUACCAUAUGAAUAAGGAUCGGCUAACUACGUGCCAGCAGCCGAGGUAAUACGGAGGAUCCGAGCGUUAUCCGGAUUUAUUGGGUUUAAAGGGAGCGUAGGUGGAUUGUUAAGUCAGUUGUGAAAGUUUGCGGCUCAACCGUAAAAUUGCAGUUGAAACUGGCAGUCUGGAGUACAGUAGAGGUGGGCGGAAUUCGUGGUGUAGCGGUGAAAUGCUUAGAUAUCACGAAGAACUCCGAUUGCGAAGGCAGCUCACUGGACUGCAACUGACACUGAGGCUCGAAAGUGUGGGUAUCAAACAGGAUUAGAUACCCUAGUAGUC
Molecule: ribosomal RNA, 460 nt
Filed under: uncultured bacterium
Lineage: Bacteria
Description: partial 16S ribosomal RNA
Rfam family: Bacterial small subunit ribosomal RNA
Source: RNAcentral